GGGCCCGCACAAGCGGUGGAGCAUGUGGUUUAAUUCGAUGAUACGCGAGGAACCUUACCAGGGCUUAAAUGCAGAACGACAGAGGUGGAAACACCUCCUUCUUCGGACGGUCUGCAAGGUGCUGCAUGGUUGUCGUCAGCUCGUGCUGUGAAGUGUCGGGUUAAGUCCCAUAACGAGCGCAACCCCUAUUUCUAGUUGCCAGCGGUUCGGCCGGGGACUCUAGAGAAACUGCCAGCGUAAGCUGUGAGGAAGGUGGGGAUGACGUCAAAUCAUCACGGCCCUUACGUCCUGGGCUACACACGUGCUACAAUGGUAGGGACAGAGAGUUGCCAACCCGCGAGGGUGAGCUAAUCUUCAAACCUCAUCUCAGUUCGGAUCGAAGUCUGCAACUCGACUUCGUGAAGUUGGAAUCGCUAGUAAUCGC
Molecule: ribosomal RNA, 424 nt
Filed under: uncultured bacterium
Lineage: Bacteria
Description: bacterial SSU rRNA
Rfam family: Bacterial small subunit ribosomal RNA
Source: RNAcentral